Molecule: ribosomal RNA, 419 nt
Filed under: bacterium
Lineage: Bacteria
Description: partial 16S ribosomal RNA
Rfam family: Bacterial small subunit ribosomal RNA
Source: RNAcentral
UGGGGGAUAUUGCACAAUGGGCGAAAGCCUGAUGCAGCGACGCCGCGUGGGGGAUGAAGGCCUUCGGGUUGUAAACUUCUUUUGCUCUGAACAAGGCAUGCUAAUGGGUGUGUUGAGUGUAGGGGUUGAUUAGCGCCGGCUAACUACGUGCCAGCAGCCGCGGUAAUACGUAGGGCGCGAGCGUUGUCCGGAAUUAUUGGGCGUAAAGGGCUUGUAGGUGGCUGGUUGCGUCUGUCGUGAAAGCUCAUGGCUUAACUGUGGGUUUGCGGUGGGUACGGGCUGGCUUGAGUGCAGUAGGGGAGGCUGGAAUUCCUGGUGUAGCGGUGGAAUGCGCAGAUAUCAGGAGGAAUACCGGUGGCGAAGGAGGGUCUCUGGGCUGUUACUGACACUGAGGAGCGAAAGCAUGGGGAGCGAACAGG